UCGGGAAUUUUGGGCAAUGGGCGAAAGCCUGACCCAGCAACGCCGCGUGAAGGAUGAAGUAUUUCGGUAUGUAAACUUCGUAAGAAUAGGAAGAAUAAAUGACGGUACUAUUUGUAAGGUCCGGCUAACUACGUGCCAGCAGCCGCGGUAAUACGUAGGGACCAAGCGUUGUUCGGAUUUACUGGGCGUAAAGGGCGCGUAGGCGGUGUGUCAAGUCAGUUGUGAAAUCUCCGAGCUUAACUCGGAACGGUCAACUGAUACUGUCACACUAGAGUACAGAAGGGGCAAUCGGAAUUCUUGGUGUAGCGGUGAAAUGCGUAGAUAUCAGGAAGAACAUCAGUGGCGAAGGCGACACCUGGACGAUGACUGACGCUGAGGCGCGAAAGCCAGGGGAGCAAA
This 399-nucleotide ribosomal RNA is filed under the name uncultured bacterium. RNAcentral's name for it is "bacterial SSU rRNA". It matches the Rfam family "Bacterial small subunit ribosomal RNA", at positions 355 to 772 of the family's 1533-position model. The record is from RNAcentral.